GCUCCUGUGACGCAGUGGUUAGCGUGUCGUUCUUAUAUUGAUCAGAUCCGCUGAUAAAUAUGACGAAAUGCGAAAGUCGUGGGUUCGACCCCCACCAGGAGCA
Molecule: transfer RNA, 103 nt
Filed under: Ceratocystis platani
Lineage: Eukaryota; Fungi; Ascomycota; Sordariomycetes; Microascales; Ceratocystidaceae
Also listed under: 1 other name
Rfam family: tRNA
About the family: Transfer RNA (tRNA) molecules are approximately 80 nucleotides in length.
Source: Rfam by way of RNAcentral